Molecule: unclassified non-coding RNA, 344 nt
Filed under: soil metagenome
Description: partial contains 5.8S ribosomal RNA, internal transcribed spacer 2, and large subunit ribosomal RNA
Rfam family: 5.8S ribosomal RNA (bases 1-120)
Source: RNAcentral
GAUGAAGAACGUAGCGAAAUGCGAUAAGUAAUGUGAAUUGCAGAAUUCAGUGAAUCAUCGAAUCUUUGAACGCACAUUGCGCCCGCCAGUAUUCUGGCGGGCAUGCCUGUUCGAGCGUCAUUUCCACCAUCAGGCCCCCGGGCCUGUGUUGGGGACCUGCGGCUGCCCGCAGGCCCCGAAAUUCAGUGGCGGUCGCGCCGUAGCAACCGAGCGUAGUAACUAAAACGUCUCGCUCUGGCUCGCUGGGCGCGCUCCGGCCGCAAAACACCCCCCCUUUUCGCAAAGGUUGACCUCGGAUCAGGUAGGAAUACCCGCUGAACUUAAGCAUAUCAAUAAGCGGAGGA